GGCCGUGAGGGCAGGAGACAGGCAGGCCCUGGCUGAGCAGAGGCGGGCUACGAGCGGGGCUGAGAACCGCCGUGAUCCCUGGCUGGGGUGGCGGGGCCGGGUCGGGGCCGCCUUCUCUGGGGGCCAUUCAUUAGCUCGGGCGACAUUUCCCGGCCCCUGCUGUGCCCCAGGUCCUGGGGCUGCGGCGCCGGACGGACAAAAAUCCCAGCCGUUGUGGCGCUGACGGUCUAGCGGGGAAGGCCAAGGUGGCUGGCUUGCAGAGGAGAGCAGCUGGUGACGUCUCUUGCUGGAGUCAGAAGCCCUGGGUUUAAAAUCUGCCUCCAUAGCACAAAUCAAGUUUUUAAAAAUGAAGCCCACCUGCAGUGUCAUUCGCUGGCGAUGUUUGGGUGAAGCCAGGCAAGUUUCUUGGUGCUCGUCUACACCUCAGUUUCUUCCCCUGGAAAAUGGGAGCAGCCUAUGGCACCCACCUCCACAGGCUGGUGAUAAGGAAUCUGUGAGAGCAGGCCCCCUGUAGCUCUCUAAAACCCAGCGAGUAUUGUUAAGUAAUGCACAAUAAAUGGGCAAGUGAAGUCUGAACCUUGGUCUCUCGUUCAUUCAAGAAACUUUCUUAAAACUCCCUCAACAUUCCAAGCUCUGAGCUAGCCACGAGCCUACAGUGACACCCUGAGCUGGUGAGCUUUCUCUGCAUCUGACUGGCUGUCCCCCAUGCUGAUCACACUAAUGUGUGGUGUCAGGGAAAAUCCAAGUGCAGUGGAAAAAAAGUCCGGGGAACCCUGAGAUUAGAGAGGCGGAGGCUCAGGUAGACCUCUGAAAGGAUGCACAAGGCAGGCAGGAGGCGCCUCCAAGGGGAAAAGAAGGUGGGAACACAAGGGCUGGUGUGGCCAGAGGGAUGAUGCGACGGAGGUCAGCAGCAGAACCUGGUGGUCUGUGGCGAGGGUUCUUAGCGUUUUCUGGAGGUCAGUGGGAAGCAGUUGAAGGACUUUUGUCAGGAGCUUCUCGUAGCUGCUCCUGCUGGGUGGAGAUGGCUGGAGGGAAAGGAGAGGAAGUGGGGGUACUUG
Molecule: long non-coding RNA, 1058 nt
Organism: Choloepus didactylus (southern two-toed sloth)
Lineage: Eukaryota; Metazoa; Chordata; Mammalia; Pilosa; Megalonychidae
Exons: 3
Source: RefSeq, a predicted model, not a curated record